GGGGCCGAUAUGGUUUCGACGGUGAUCUGUUCGCUUCGGAGAAGCGUGCCGAGAAUGUAGAGUCCGCUCGUGAUGUGCUCUGCAAUUUAAAUUAAGUGCUAAAUCUAACCGCACUGAGUUCGCUCUCGCUGCCUGAUUUUAAACGUAAUCAGAUCUAAUCCAGCGAGCGUGGCUCCGUCCGCUCUUCCGGGUCUUCGGGAAGAGGUCGGGCGUCGUUAGAGGACUUGCCUACGUCACUGAACCGCAGGGUGACGUAGGGACUUUGACUGUGGCUAGGCUCGCCAUCAGUCGUCUGCGACAUUGAUGGGGGCCGAAAAACCACCCCAGUGGUCAGCAGACUACGCACGUAGAAGUACGAGGGUACGGUCACCGGACCGGGGUUCAAUUCCCCGCGGCUCCAC
This 401-nucleotide transfer-messenger RNA is filed under the name Bifidobacterium choerinum. It matches the Rfam family "transfer-messenger RNA". From Rfam's summary of the family: Bacterial tmRNA, also known as 10Sa RNA or SsrA, is named for its dual tRNA and mRNA-like properties. Its role is to liberate the mRNA from a stalled ribosome. To accomplish this part of the tmRNA is used as a reading frame that ends in a translation stop signal. The record is from RNAcentral. Lineage: Bacteria; Bacillati; Actinomycetota; Actinomycetes; Bifidobacteriales; Bifidobacteriaceae.